Molecule: non-coding RNA, 1897 nt
Organism: Amborella trichopoda
Lineage: Eukaryota; Viridiplantae; Streptophyta; Magnoliopsida; Amborellales; Amborellaceae
Source: RefSeq, a predicted model, not a curated record
UCUCCCUUUCUCUCUCUCUCUCUCUCUCUCUCUGUACCGUCGCGUUUCAUCCCCUCUCUUUUAUUGGAGAAAGAUUCUUCUUUCUAUAAAUCUGCAACCCUCUUUGAGAAUGUUUGAAAAGUUCUCAUGGGAGGGCAAAAGGCGAAUGUGAAUAAAUUAAAAUAAAGGGGACCAUCGGCAGCCGACGGACGCGAACCCUUCUCUCUCUCUCUACUUUCUCUCUCUUCUGAUAUCUUUCCCCAUCCAUCUCCAUCUCUCUACUUUCUCUCUCUUCUGAUAUCUUUCCCCAUCCAUCUCCAUCUCUCAACCCCUGUGGAUUGAUAGGUUUCUCUGAUAGAGUGGGAUCUGUGCGGGCAUGUGAGGUCUAGAGAGAGAAAGAGAGAGAGUGGGCGAAUGGAUCCUGUGGUACUCGAUGAUAUCAUUGCUAGGCUUCUUGAGGUGAGAGGAACAAGGUCAGGAAAGCAGGUCCAGCUCUCUGAGUCCGAGAUCCGUCAGCUCUGUGUCGUCUCCAAAGACAUUUUCAUGCAACAGCCCAACCUCCUCGAGCUUGAGGCACCCAUCAAAAUAUGCGGUGAUAUCCAUGGUCAGUAUUCUGAUCUUUUAAGGCUUUUUGAAUAUGGUGGUCUACCUCCUCAGGCCAAUUACUUAUUCCUAGGGGACUAUGUUGACCGGGGCAAACAAAGUCUGGAGACGAUAUGCCUCCUCCUUGCUUAUAAAAUUAAGUACCCAGAGAACUUCUUUCUUCUAAGGGGAAAUCAUGAAUGUGCAUCCAUAAACCGGAUCUAUGGAUUCUAUGACGAGUGUAAAAGGCGAUUUAAUGUGAGACUCUGGAAAGUUUUCACAGACUGUUUUAACUGUCUACCAGUAGCAGCUCUGAUAGAUGAGAAGAUACUUUGCAUGCAUGGUGGACUUUCCCCUGAUCUAAAUAAUUUGGAUCAGAUAAGGAACUUAGUUCGUCCAACCGAUGUACCUGAUACUGGUUUACUUUGUGAUCUGCUUUGGUCAGAUCCUAGUAAAGAUGUUCAAGGAUGGGGAAUGAAUGAUAGAGGAGUUUCAUAUACUUUUGGCCCUGAUAAAGUUACAGAGUUCCUUCAAAAGCAUGACCUGGAUCUUAUUUGCCGUGCUCACCAGGUUGUGGAGGAUGGUUAUGAAUUCUUUGCUGAUAGACAGCUAGUCACGAUAUUUUCAGCACCAAAUUACUGUGGGGAAUUUGACAAUGCUGGUGCAAUGAUGAGUGUUGAUGAGACUUUGAUGUGUUCUUUCCAAAUACUGAAGCCUGCAGAGAAGAAACCAAAGUUUGGUUAUGGCAACUCAAAUGCAACUACAGCUAAGCCUGGAACACCACCAGCUGGAGUAAAGAUCGUGGAUCUACUUUUGAUGCCCUUAUGUUAUCCAAAUAGUGUUAAGACUUUUGAGGAGUGGAGUUGAUGUUCCUUUUUAGCUCCUUGGUUUCCAAGAAGAAUAUGAGGCCCUUAUAGCGUGUGAACUAAUUAACUUGGAGAGCCCUGCCAUUGAAGAGGCUUCACGUUUGUACGAACAAGGAAUUGGAUAAGUUGUGGAGGUUAAUUGUCUCCUUAGUUUCAAAGAGUGCAGAUGAAUUCAAAUUCUCCUUGGUUCUUAACAAUAAUACGAGGAUUUUAUGGUAUGCAAACUAAUUAACUUGGAGAGCCAUAUGAUACUUUUAGAGACAAGCGUGAUCAGAUGGAUUCAGAGAUUCCACAAAAGCUAAUAAUCCUUGAAGCAAUAAAUGUUACUGGAAAUGAGGCUCUUGCAAAGCCAGAUUGUCCUCUUGUUCUUUAUAUUUUCCUAGUCCUUCCUGGGGGCGAAAGCAUGAGAGAGAUUAGGAGGCUUCACGGAAAGAGCUUAGGCCUUUUACGGACCUGUCUGUUGUCCUGCC